AAUCAUUGUUUUCUACAUCGUGAUUGGGUGAUUCAAAAGCUUGUGUAUUUACAGGCACGUAUUUUUAAGCUGGUCUUCACUACAGUGUUUUGGACUGUCUUUUUAUUUCCCCCAUUAGAGGGAGCCAAGUGGUAGAAAAAAACUCAGUGCACUGCAAAGGCUGCUCCUUUGUAUUGGCUUGGGUGCUCCUACUCUUCAAAGCACUACCUGCACUGAAGGGAUACAGCAAACUCUGGAGUCUCCAUCUUUGCUUUGCAGUCUGCAUUUUUCUAAAGUUAAGACAUCUGUGUUUCUUUCUGUUUUAAGAACUCAGUUCACAUCUACAUUGUUAGAUACCUGUUAGAUCGCUAGUUUUAAGCAUGAGAAAAAAACCCAACAUAAUUGAUACACACGAAUUAUAGAAGAUAUAAAUAGCUGGGACUGGUAGUGUGUACCAGUAGUCCCAGCUACUCAGGAGGCUGAGGCAGGAGAGUCACUUGAGUUGAGGAGUUCAAGGCCAGCCUGGGCAACACAGCUAAACCUCUUCUCAAAAAAA
Non-coding RNA from Heterocephalus glaber (naked mole-rat), 535 nucleotides. The record is from RefSeq and is a predicted model, not a curated record. Lineage: Eukaryota; Metazoa; Chordata; Mammalia; Rodentia; Bathyergidae.